Molecule: ribosomal RNA, 119 nt
Filed under: Sinocyclocheilus rhinocerous
Lineage: Eukaryota; Metazoa; Chordata; Actinopteri; Cypriniformes; Cyprinidae
Source: RNAcentral
GCUUACGGCCAUACCACCCUGUCUGCGCUAGAUCUUGUCUGAUCUCGGAAGCUAAGCAGGGUUGGGCCUGGUUAGUACUUGAAUGGGAGACUGCCUGGGACUAGCAGGUGCUGUAUGGG